AUUCUAUUGCAAUCCAUAAUAGGUCCACAACUUAAGGUAUGAACGUAUUGUGGCCCACUACAUGAUAUCGUUUAGCCUUCCCGGGCAUUGCCUAAACCUUGACCGGAAGAGCAGCCCUUCUCUCCGCACUGUUUGGCGCUUGAUUUCCGUCAACACUGAGCAGCGGGCGUGGAAAUGUUCCUCCACCAUAACUAUUAAUCACGCCAAGCGGACAUGGACCGCAUCCCACUCCCACAUCACAGCACCCUUUGUCUUCUCAAACUACAACUUGAGCCGUUUAAACUUUUAAAACCCGAACAGGAGGGAACAAUCUCUUAUCAGUUUACAUUUCAGACCACUUUAUGGAUGAUUGGGAGUGAGGAGGCUAUGAAUAUAUGAUUUAUGUUGGAUUAGAAUGAAGGGUUAAUCAGAUUUGAUUCGCAUUAAUUCAUUUUGUACUUUUUGUGAAGAGUUCGGCCAGAUUUGCAUACCACUCCACCAGCCCCGAGAGCACGUGCAUUGCAACACCGGAGAGCGUCUGGGGCUGAGCUGACUGUGGACGGAAAACAGACCCUUUCUCCCACGCCACCUUUCGCCACCGCGCCUGAACUUUUCCCUGACCCAAACCGAGGCGCGGAGAGUUGAGUGUGAACAUAUUUUGGUUGAAAAACAAGGAGUAGAUGGAGACUACAUAACCAAUAAGAGCUAUACCUUCCUUUUCAGCUGGGAACGUUUUGGAUCCUUGUUUUUAACGGGCUCUUGUUGGUUUCAGCAGUUGAUUAGCCUAUUUCUUGGUUUGUAUGUAUACAUAUAUUAAAAUUAGUAACAUAAAGCUGGUAACCUAAAUCCAACUUCCAACAUUUACCAGCCUUGAGCCGUAGACUUGAGCCGUAGAMAGUCCUCUCCACACCGCUCCGUCAUUGGAUGUUCGCCAGACUGCGGUGCAUCUCUCCACAAUGUUGACAUUUGAAGCUCUUAACAGCGAGCCUUGGGUUACCGAUACACUCAGCAGAAUAUAACUCUUUCUCUGAGGUUUACAUCGGCCAACAUCAAGGCUAAUGCGAAAUUCAACGCCCUAAACUGGUUUGGCGUGCAUGCUAAAACAGAGAAGCCUCGGUGGAUCUCGCUAUACUCUCCAUAACGGACUGACUUCUGUUGUGGUGGUUUGUUUCAGUAUGUGCUGUAGAAAUUAAAUUGUAGUGGUAAUAAUGUUGAA
Salvelinus sp. IW2-2015 is the source of this 1195-nucleotide long non-coding RNA. RefSeq lists it as uncharacterized. Lineage: Eukaryota; Metazoa; Chordata; Actinopteri; Salmoniformes; Salmonidae. The record is from RefSeq and is a predicted model, not a curated record.